Anopheles maculipalpis is the source of this 324-nucleotide long non-coding RNA. RefSeq lists it as uncharacterized. The transcript has 2 exons. The record is from RefSeq and is a predicted model, not a curated record. Lineage: Eukaryota; Metazoa; Arthropoda; Insecta; Diptera; Culicidae.
GCGACGCACAUUGUCCAACCUUGCGCAGCCAACGUUCUUCGUGUUGCAAAAAACGAACAUGGCUGCCGUGUGGAAAAUUUUUGCCGUCGAUUUUGUCAAUAUUAAACAAGUUUCUCAAAUUGAACCGCAAGCGAGGCGACUGUUUUGAACAAUAGCGAAUCGACCGCAAGUUUUCCAUUAGCCAGUGCCAGCAUAAGCAGCAAUCGUGCCAGCCUACAAAGUCCAAGGCAAGGGAAUGUGUAAAACCAUGCAUGUAAAGCCCCGUAAAAUUGAAUAGUGUGCGUUGAAAUUGUGUGACGGAGAAAUGCAAACAAAGUGAAUAAG